Molecule: ribosomal RNA, 305 nt
Filed under: Cyclops abyssorum
Lineage: Eukaryota; Metazoa; Arthropoda; Copepoda; Cyclopoida; Cyclopidae
Description: partial 16S ribosomal RNA
Source: RNAcentral
CGCAGGUCUGCACCUGUAAGAUUUGCCCAAUGCUUAAAUUGUUAAUGGCCGCGCAAGUGCUAAGGUAGCAAAAUCAAUAGCCUAUUAAUUGUAGCCUAGAAUGAAUAAUUAAACUUUGUAGAGAGUAGCGUUUGCUACAAAAACUUAAUUUUUCUGUGAAAAAGCAGAAGUAAACUUUUUAGACGAGAAGACCCUAAAACUUUAAAAUAUUUAAUUGGGAUAAUUCUUUUAUGAAAUAAAAACAGUAAGCCCCUAUAGGAAAGACCCUAAAAAGCUAAAUAAAAGUACUUUAGGGAUAACAGCAC